GAUGAACGCUAGCGGCAGGCUUAACACAUGCAAGUCGAGGGGUAUAGGGAGCUUGCUCCCUAGAGACCGGCGCACGGGUGCGUAACGCGUAUGCAAUCUACCUUUUACAGGGGGAUAGCCCAGAGAAAUUUGGAUUAAUACCCCAUGGUAUAUGUGAAUGGCAUCAUUUAUAUAUUAAAGUCACAACGGUAAAAGAUGAG
This 200-nucleotide ribosomal RNA is filed under the name uncultured bacterium. RNAcentral's name for it is "partial 16S ribosomal RNA". It matches the Rfam family "Bacterial small subunit ribosomal RNA", at positions 28 to 229 of the family's 1533-position model. The record is from RNAcentral.